Salvelinus fontinalis (brook trout) is the source of this 6533-nucleotide long non-coding RNA. RefSeq lists it as uncharacterized. The transcript has 3 exons. The record is from RefSeq and is a predicted model, not a curated record. Lineage: Eukaryota; Metazoa; Chordata; Actinopteri; Salmoniformes; Salmonidae.
UGCGUCGUCCAUGGAUCUGUCGGGGUGGUAGGCGAAUUGGAGAGGGUCGAAUGUGUCGAGGAGGGAGGAAGUGAUGUAGUCUUCGACUAGCCUCCCGUAGCAUUUCGGGAUGACGGAAGUGAGUACUACAGGUCGGUAGUAAUUCAGUUGUUACUUUCCCCUUUUUGGGCACAGGCAUGAUUGUGGACAUCUUGAAGCAGGUGGGGAUAACGGCCUGAGCUAGAGAGAGACUGAAAAGGUCAGAGAACGCAACAGCUAGCUGCUCUGCACAUGCUCUGUCGAGCUUUAGUCCACAGCUAAGGAUGCCGUCUGGGCCGGCAGCCUGGCAAGGGUUAACACGCUUUAAGGAUUUACAUACGUCUUCCGUGAAGACCAUAAGCACAUAGCCCUCGUUGUCUUCAGGGGCUCUCCUCGGCAGCUCGAAGCAGGAGAAAAGGGUUUUUAGCUCGUCGGAUAGGACGGUGUUGGUGUCUGCGAUGUGAUUGGCUUUCUUUUUGUAAUCUGUGAUCGUUAAAAGCCCCUGCCACAUUGUCACGCCCUGGCCAUAGAGAGGCUUUUAUUCUCUAUUUUGGUUAGGCCAGGAUGUGACUAGGGUGGGCAUUCUAGUUUCUUUAUUUCUAUGUUUUCUGUUUCUUUGUUUUGGCCGGGUAUGGUUCUCAAUCAGGGACAGCCGCCUAUCGUUGUCUCUGAUUGGGAAUCAUACUUAGGCAGCCUGUUUUUCCACCUUAGUUGUGGGUAGUUGUCUGUGUUAGUGGCCUGUAUAGCCCUAGUCAGCUUCAUGUUAGUUUUUGUUGUUUCUUGUUUUUGUUGGCGACAUUCAAAAUAAAAAGAAAUGUACGCUCACAACGCUGCAUCUUGGUCCGGUCAUUUCCACCCUGACGACGAUCGUUACACACAUACUCCUCGUAUCCGACCCGCUGAAUUGCUCCUCAACUUUGUCGCUAUACUUGAUCAAUCUGUGUGGGUCGUACUUGUAAUGUUUUAACCAUACAAUUGUACCCGGUCACCUUGCCGUUUUCAGAAGCAGCAUCUCUCUCCUUCAGUUUUCUGACAAGGCAGAAGCACUUAGAUUAUUUGCUUGAAAGAUUUUUUGACAAGUGGAUGGAAGCCUAGUAGUCUCAACGCAACUUUCCACACUUUCGCAGAAUGUAAUCAUUCUUAAUAUGUGUUUAGGCUGAAUCAAUGUUACCUCACAGUGAGAUGCUGUGAAACGUUGGCCUCCACUCAACUCAAUCUCCUCACACCUGAGAACGCUGAGAACGCUGGAUGUAUAUAUAUACAUCUUUGUUUAAAUCACAAUUAAAAUAGUAUUUACAUGCAAAUCAAGUUAAAGGCAAUUCUGAUUGAAAUACUAAUUCUCAAAGUAACUUUCCACUCAUUCGUAGUAUGUAAUAAUUCUUAUUAUGUGUUUAGGCUGAAUCAAUGUUGGCCUCAGCUCAAAGUCUUCACACCUGGAAGAGCUGGACCUGAGUGACAAUGACCUGCAGGAUUCAGGGGUGAAACUGCUCUAUUCUGGACUGGAAAGUUUACAUUGGAAACUGGAGAAACUGAAGUAAGUUCAUUUGGAUUGUAUGAGACAUGUUUAGCAAAAUCAACAACUCUGUAACGCUCGUCUUCCUCCUCGUCUGAAGAGGAGCAAGGAUCGGACCAAAACGCAGCGUGGGUUGAAAACAUACUUAUUUAUUAUAGCAAUAACGAAGACGAAAAAACACUUGAACAAACUACAAAAUAAUAAACGACGUGAACAGACCUGAACUUGAGAACAUAAAACAUGAACGAACGAACGAAACAGUACCGUGUGGCGAACAAACACAGACACAGCAACAAUCACCCACAAACAAACAGUGAGAACAGCCUACCUUAAUAUGGUUCUCAAUCAGAGGAAACGUAAAACACCUGCCCCUGAUUGAGAACCAUAUCAGGCUAGUUGACAAUGAACCCAACAUAGAAACACAUAACAUAGAAUGCCCACCCAGCUCACGUCUUGACCAACUAAACAAUACAUAACAAAGGAAAUAAGGUCAGGAACGUGACAAACUCACCAUACAUUAUGAGAGGGCUUGCAAAUUUGAACAAUCACCACAGUUUUACUGCAUGGUUCAGUCAAGCCACAUGUCUAUCACAUCAUUUUCAAUCAAAUUUAUAAAGCCCUUUUUACAUCAGCCGAUGUCAAAGUGCUAUACAGAAACCCAGCCUAAAACCCCAAACAGCAAGCAAUGCAGAUUUAGAAGCAUGGUGGCUAGGAAAAACUAGAAAGGCAGGAACCUAGGAAGAAAUUUAGAGAGGAACCAGGCUCUGAGGGGUGGCCAGUCCUCUUCUGGCUGUGCCGGGUGGAGAUUAUAACAGUACAUGGCCAAGAUGUUCAAACGUUCAUAGAUGACCAGCGGGUCAAAUAAUAAUAAUCACAGUGGUUGUAGAGGGUGCAAGUUCAAUAGGUCAGCACCUCAGGAGUAAAUGUCAGUUGGCUUUUCAUAGCCGAUCAUUCAGAGUUAGCGACAACAGGUGCGGUAGAGAGAGAGAAAAUCGAAAACAGCAGGUCCGGGACAAGGUAGUACGUGAACAGGUCAGCGUUCCAUAGCUGCAGGCAGAACAGUUGAAACUGGAGCAGCAACACGGUCCUAGGGCUCAGAUCCUCCGAGAGAAGAGAAAGAGAGAGCGAGAGAAAAUUAGAGGGAGCAUACUUAAAUUCACACAGGACACCAGAUAAGACAGGAGAAAUUCUCCAGAUAUAACAGACUGACCCUAGCCCCCUGACACAAACUAUUGCAGCAUAAUUACUGGAGGCUGAGACAGGAGGGGUCGGGAGACACUGUGGCCUCGUCCGCCUAUACCCCCGGACAGGGCCAACCAGGCAGGAUAUAACCCCACCCACUUUGCCAAAGCACAGCCUCCACACAACUAGAGGGAUAUAUUCAACCACCAACUUUAAGAAAUAUAUAUAUUUCACCUUUAUUUAACCAGGUAGGCUAGUUGAGAACAAGUUCUGUGUGUGCAAAUGAGGUAAGAUAAGGGAGGUAAGGCAAUAAAUAGGCCAUAGUGACGAAAUAAUUGUAAUUUAGCAAUUAAACACUGGAGUGAUAGAUGUGCAGAAGCUGAAUGUGCAAGUAGAGAUACUGGGGUGCAAACGAGCAAAAAAUGUAUCAAAAUAACAGUAUGGGGAUGAGGUAGUUGGAUGGGCUAUUUACAGAUGGGCUAUGUGCAGGUGCAGUGAUCUGUGAGCUGCUCUGACAACUGGUGCUUAAAGUUAGUCAGGGAGAUCUGAGUCUCCAGCUUCAGUGAUUUUUGCAAUUCGUUCCAGUCAUUGGCAGCAGAGAACUGGAAGGAAAGGCGGCCGAAGGAGGAAUUGGCUUUGGAGGUGACCAGUGAAAUAUACCUGCUGGAGUGCGUGCUACGGGUGGGUGCUGCUAUGGUGACCAGUGAGCUGAGAUAAGGCGGGGCUUUACCUAGCAAAGACUUAUAGAUGACCUGGAGCCAGUGGGUUUGGCGACGAAUAUGAAGCGAGGGCCAGCCAAUGAGAGCAUACAGGUUGUAGUGGUGGGUAGUAAUGGGGCUUUGGUGACAAAACGGAUGGCACUGUGAUAGACUGCAUCCAAUUUGCUGAGUAAAGUGUUGGAGGCUAUUUUGUAAAUGACAUUGCCGAAGUCAAGGAUCGGUAGGAUAGUCAGUUUUACUAGGUUAUGUUAAGCAGCAUGAGUGAAGGAUGCUUUGUUGCGAAAUUGGAAGCCGAUUCUAGAUUUAAUUUUGGAUUAAGCAUCUCCAAUGUGAGUCUGGAAGGAGAGUUUACAGUCUAACCAGACACCUAGGUAUUUGUAGAUGUCCACAUAUUCUAGGUCAGAACCGUACGGAGUAUUGAUGCUGGACGGGCGGGCUGGUGCUGGUAGCGAUCGGUUGAAGAGCAUGCAUUUAGUUUUACUUGCAUUUAAGAGUAGUUGGAGGCCACGGAAGGAGAGUUGUAUGGCAUUGAAGCUCGUCUGGAGGUUAGUUAACACAGUGUCCAAAGAAGGGCCAGAAGUAUACAGAAUACAGAAUGGUAGCUUACUACACUGAGACAAGGCCGAGUAUAGCCCACGAAGAUCUCCCCCACGGCACGAACCCAAGGGGGGGGCGCCAACCCGGACAGGAAGAUCACGCCAUUGACUAAACCCACUCAAGUGAUGCACCCCUCCUAGGGACGGCAUGGAAGAGCACCAGUAAGCCAGUGACUCAGCCCCCGUAAUAGGGUUAUAAUUGUAGCAGCAAAAUAAUGUUAUCGUGUAAAGAUAAAUGAAUGCAUGAGAUUUUCUCACUUGGGUGAGUCACUCCAUAUUGAAAAUGAGGGCAGUGACCCAAAUGUUUUGUAACUAUUGUGUGACAGUUUUAUCUGACAAUUGUUUUAUCUUGUUUGAGGUUGUCAUUGUGUAGAGUCUGAGAGGAAGGCUGUGCUUCUCUUGCAUCAGAUCUGAGAUCAAACCCUUCGCACCUGAAAGAGCUACACUACAAUUAACCCAGAGACUCAGGAGUAAACCUGCUCUCUGCUGUACUGAAUCAUCCACUCACUGAACUGGAGAAACUCAGUUUCUCUGCACUAGCGUGGACCAUGAUGGAAAGGGCAGGAUCAAACCUGGGCUUAUGAAAUAUGCACUCUGGACCCAAACACAGCACAUACAGCAAAUACCUUUCUCUGUCUGAGGGAAACAGACGAGUGACACAGAUAUGGAUGUGAGGAAAGCUUUGACUAUGUACAGACUCAGUGAGCAUAGCCUUGCUAUUGAGAAAGGCCGCCGUAGGCAGACAUGGCUCUCAAAAGAAGACAGGUUAUGUGCACUGCCCACAAAAUGAGGUGGAAACCGAGCUGCACUUCCUAACCUCCUGCCCAAUGUAUGACCAUAUUAGAGACACAUAUUUCCCUCAGAUCACACAGAUCCACAAAGAAUUCGAAAACAAAUCCAAUUUUGAUAAACUCCCAUAUCUACUGGGUGAAAUUCCACAGUGUGCCAUCACAGCAGCAAGAUUUGUGACCUGUUGCCACAAGAAAAGGGCAACCAGUGAAGAACAAACACCAUUGUAAAUACAACCCAUAUUUAUGCUUACUUAUUUUAACUUGUGUGCUUUAACCAUUUGUACAUUGUUACAACACUGUAUAUAUUUAAUAUGACACUCAUAAUGCCUUUAUUGUUUUGAAACUUCUGUAUGUGUAAUGUUUACUGUUAAUUCGUUUUGUUUGUUUCACUUUUGUGUAUUGUCUACCUCACUUGCUUUGGCAAUGUUAACACAUGUUUCCCAUGCCAAUAAAGCCCCUUGAAUUGAAAUUGAAUUGAAUUGAAUUGGAUGCAGCAGCCCUAUCCUGAUCACCCAGAGAGAUUGAAGGUCUGGCUACAGGUCCUGUGUCGACAGGGUCUGACUGGGCACUGUUACUGGGAGGCAAAUUGGAUUGGGAGAGGGGCUUUUAUAGGAGUGACAUAUCAAGGAAUCAACAGGAGAGGAAUUGAUGAAGACUGUUUGCUUGGAUACAAUGACAAGUCCUGGAGUCUGAACUGAGAUGAUGACAGUUACUUUGCCAGGCACAAUGGGAAGAGUACUGCCAUACAUGUCCCCCACUCCCAUUCCAAGAGAGUUGGAGUGUAUCUGGACAGGCCAGCUGGCUAACUGUCCUCUGAAAAACUGACCCAUCUGCACACAUUCCACUUCACAUUCACUGAGCCCCUUUACCAAAGGGUUUGGGUUGAAUCUUCUCUGACUUUGUGCCAUGCUUGAAAUUCAUGCAAAUAAACUCAAAUGUAACAGUGUGACAUGAUAUGAUUUCCACUUACUGUCAGAAGAGGUGUGGUGUGUUUUCCCAUGCGUGGUUGGAUGUACAGCUGUUCCCUUUCCUCGAUGUCAGGGGUAGUCAAUCCUGGUCCUAGAGUGCCGCAGGCACUUCAUGUUUUUGAUUUAACUGACCUGAAAGACCAGGUGUGUUGAAUUUCAGCAAUCACUGAACUAAUCAAUUUGCUCAGUUGGUCAGGGCUUCGUUCAGUACAUAAAAACAGAACAGAACAUUCAAUUGAAUGGAAACGGUGGUGUAAGGAAUGACUAGUUGAAGGGGUUGGGUUGGGUUAUGGAAAACUGACCCACCCAAAUGCACCGGUGCCCUUUAAAUAUGCCGCCAUGCUUCAAGCCACACCCCGGCACACCCACUGAAUGGAGCAAACGUAUCUCAAAGUCUGUUCAAGAACGUACAAGAACGUUUUGGGAAAACAUGUUAUUCAGUACAAAUCGUGCCCAGCAUAGCAAGCGUUCAAGCAAACUGAACGCACCCCUGGUGUGGUACCUAGUUAGAACAAAAUCCUGCGGUACCUGCAGCUCUCCGGGAACAGGGUGGCCUACCCCUGUUCUAUUGUGGGUGGGAUGAUCAAACUAUUCUACUUGUACAAAAUGUUAUGCUGUUUCCAAAUGAAACAAAAUACCUUUCUCUUGUUAAAGCUUUUAGAAUUUAUUUGUUUGUCUAUGUGCUCAUGUGCAAAAGAGACAUUGACCUCAGCAUGACUCCCUGUCAAAAUAAAAGGUUGAAUAUU